Esox lucius (northern pike) is the source of this 544-nucleotide long non-coding RNA. The record is from Ensembl. Lineage: Eukaryota; Metazoa; Chordata; Actinopteri; Esociformes; Esocidae.
CAACUGCAACAACAAACAUGGCAGGUGCCACAACAACCACAGUUGCUCCAACAUCAACAUCGGCAACCACGUCAACCACAGCACUUCCCACAACAACUGCAGCUGCCACAACAACCACAGAACAUGCCACAUCAACUACAACUGCACCCACUUCAACCACAGAUACAGCCACAACAACUACAUCUGCCAGUACAACAACCACACCUGCUCCAACAUCAACAACAACUGCAACAACAAACACAGCAGGUGCCACAACAACCACAGUUGCUCCAACAACAGCCGAAGCCACCACGUCAACCACAGCACUUCCCACAACAACUAAAACUGCCACAACAACCAUAGAACAUUCCACGUCAACAACAACUGCACCCACGUCAACCACAGAUACAGCCACAACAACUACAACAACCACACCUGCUCCAACAACAACUACAGCUGUAGCCACUACAGGUACAACAACUACAACAACAGCUCAAACAUCAACCACUACUGAUGUCUCAUCAACUACACCUGCUCCCACAACUGCAACAACAAACAUGGCAGG